GGCCAAGUUUUUUAGGGCACACGGUGGAUGCCUUGGCAUCAGGAGCCGAUGAAGGACGUGGGAGGCUGCGUUAAGCCUCGGGGAGUCGCCAACCAGACGUUGAUCCGGGGAUGUCCGAAUGGGGAAACCCAGCACCAGUCAUGUGGUGUUGCCUCCGCCUGAAUGUAUAGGGCGGUUGGUGGUAACGCGGGGAAGUGAAACAUCUCAGUACCCGUAGGAAGAGAAAACAAAUAGUGAUUCCGUGAGUAGUGGUGAGCGAAAGCGGAUGAGGCUAAACCGUAUGUGUGUGAUAGCCGGCAGGCGUUGCGCAUGCGGGGUCGUGGGACCUUCUUGAAGUCUCUGCCGAGGCUUCGGCAAGUAAAAAACCUUCGAGGUAGUCGAAAGCUCUGGGAAGGGCUGCCGUAGACCGUGAGAGCCGGGUAGGCGAAAUUUCGUGGGCUUGUUGAGGGGAUCCCAAGUAGCACGGGGCUCGAGGAAUCCUGUGUGAAUCUGCCAGGACCACCUGGUAAGCCUAAAUACUCCCUGAUGACCGAUAGUGAACAAGUACCGUGAGGGAAAGGUGAAAAGCGCCCCGGUGAGGGGGUCGUGAAAUAGUACCUGAAACCCGUGUGCCUACAAGCCGUAGGAGCCGUAGACGAGAGCUUGCUUUUCGUCUGUGAUGUGACUUGCGUGCCUUUUGAAGAAUGAGCCUGCGAGUUAUGGUGUGUGGCAAGGUUAACCCCGUGUGGGGGAGCCGUAGCGAAAGCGAGUCUGAAUAGGGCGUUUGAGUCGCAUGCUGUAGACCCGAAAGCGGGGUGAUCUACGCAUGGGCAGGUUGAAGCGCGGGUAAGACCGCGUGAGGACCGAACCCACCAGGGUUGAAAACCUGGGGGAUGACCUGUGUGUAGGGGUGAAAGGCCAAUCAAACUCCCGUGAUAGCUGGUUCUCCCCGAAAUGCAUUUAGGUGCAGCGUUGCGUGUUUCUUGCCGGAGGUAGAGCUCUGGAUGGCAGAUGGGCCCGACAAGGUUACUGACGUCAGCCAAACUUCGAAUGCCGGUAAGUGAGAGCGUGGCAGUGAGACUGCGGGCGAUAAGGUUCGUAGUCGAGAGGGAAACAGCCCAGAUCACCGACUAAGGCCCCUAAGCGUGUGCUAAGUGGGAAAGGAUGUGGAGUCGCAGAGACAACCAGGAGGUUGGCUUAGAAGCAGCCACCCUUGAAAGAGUGCGUAAUAGCUCACUGGU
This 1220-nucleotide ribosomal RNA is filed under the name Acrocarpospora corrugata. Its description in RNAcentral is "bacterial LSU rRNA". It matches the Rfam family "Bacterial large subunit ribosomal RNA", at positions 1 to 1149 of the family's 2925-position model. Lineage: Bacteria; Bacillati; Actinomycetota; Actinomycetes; Streptosporangiales; Streptosporangiaceae. The record is from RNAcentral.